AGGGAAUCUUCCGCAAUGGACGAAAGUCUGACGGAGCAACGCCGCGUGAGUGAAGAAGGCCUUCGGGUCGUAAAACUCUGUCGCCGGGGAAGAGCAAGUGCCGUUCGAACAGGGCGGCGCCUUGACGGUACCCGGCCAGAAAGCCACGGCUAACUACGUGCCAGCAGCCGCGGUAAUACGUAGGUGGCAAGCGUUGUCCGGAAUUAUUGGGCGUAAAGCGCGCGCAGGCGGCUUCGUAAGUCUGAUGUGAAAUCUUGCGGCUCAACCGCAAGCGGUCAUUGGAAACUGGGAGGCUUGAGUGCAGAAGAGGAGAGUGGAAUUCCACGUGUAGCGGUGAAAUGCGUAGAGAUGUGGAGGAACACCAGUGGCGAAGGCGACUCUCUGGGCUGUAACUGACGCUGAGGCGCGAAAGCGUGGGGAGCAAAC
This 426-nucleotide ribosomal RNA is filed under the name uncultured bacterium. RNAcentral's name for it is "bacterial SSU rRNA". It matches the Rfam family "Bacterial small subunit ribosomal RNA", at positions 356 to 773 of the family's 1533-position model. The record is from RNAcentral.